CGCCUUGCCAGCCCGCUACAGAAACUUAAAGGAAUUGACGGGGGCCGCACAAGCGGUGGAGUAUGUGGUUUAAUUCGAUGCAACGCGAAGAACCUUACCUGGUCUUGACAUCCCGGAGACCCUUAGGAAACUAGGGGGUGCUUCCAUCUGGAAGAAUCUGGAGACAGGUGCUGCAUGGCUGUCGUCAGCUCGUGUCGUGAGAUGUUGGGUUAAGUCCCGCAACGAGCGCAACCCUUGCCUUUAGUUGCCAGCAGUUCGGCUGGGCACUCUAAAGGGACUGCCGGUGUUAAACCGGAGGAAGGUGGGGAUGACGUCAAGUCCUCAUGGCCUUUAUGACCAGGGCUACACACGUACUACAAUGGCCGAUACAAAGGGCAGCGACACUGCGAGGUGAAGCCAAUCCCGUAAAAUCGGUCUCAGUCCGGAUUGGAGUCUGCAACUCGACUCCAUGAAGUUGGAAUCGCUAGUAAUCGUGGAUCAGCAUGCCACGGUGAAUACGUUCCCGGGCCUU
RNAcentral lists this ribosomal RNA (511 nucleotides) under uncultured Desulfobulbus sp. RNAcentral describes it as "bacterial SSU rRNA". It matches the Rfam family "Bacterial small subunit ribosomal RNA", at positions 903 to 1382 of the family's 1533-position model. The record is from RNAcentral. Lineage: Bacteria; Pseudomonadati; Thermodesulfobacteriota; Desulfobulbia; Desulfobulbales; Desulfobulbaceae.